CGUAGGUGGCAAGCGUUGUCCGGAAUUAUUGGGCGUAAAGCGCGCGCAGGCGGUCCUUUAAGUCUGAUGUGAAAGCCCACGGCUCAACCGUGGAGGGUCAUUGGAAACUGGGGGACUUGAGUGCAGGAGAGAAGAGUGGAAUUCCACGUGUAGCGGUGAAAUGCGUAGAGAUGUGGAGGAACACCAGUGGCGAAGGCGACUCUUUGGCCUGUAACUGACGCUGAGGCGCGAAAGCGUGGGGAGCAAACAGGGAUUAGAUACCCUGGUAGUCCACGCCGUAAACGAUGAGUGCUAAGUGUUAGAGGGUUUCCGCCCUUUAGUGCUGCAGUAAACGCAUUAAGCACUCCGCCUGGGGAUACGGCCGCAAGGCUG
RNAcentral lists this ribosomal RNA (372 nucleotides) under uncultured organism. RNAcentral's name for it is "bacterial SSU rRNA". It matches the Rfam family "Bacterial small subunit ribosomal RNA", at positions 526 to 896 of the family's 1533-position model. The record is from RNAcentral.